GUCGGCAUCAAUCUCUGGGAGGACCCACUCCUUCUUGGACCAGACGCCGGAGCCAUAGGGCCAGGUGGUGCGGCCGACGCGGGAGUCGAAGAGAGCGCGCCACUCGGGGCCGGAGACCUUCUUGAGGGCGUCCAUGUCGUGCUGGACGUCUAGGAGACCGCCGGACUGGCUACGGUAGACGAUCUCGUCGAGGGAGUAGUGCUCAUCGGAGUUGGGGGAACCGAAGGGGACGUAG
Molecule: unclassified non-coding RNA, 235 nt
Filed under: Hevea brasiliensis (rubber tree)
Lineage: Eukaryota; Viridiplantae; Streptophyta; Magnoliopsida; Malpighiales; Euphorbiaceae
Source: RNAcentral